This 101-nucleotide transfer RNA is filed under the name Aquabacterium sp. CECT 9606. Its description in RNAcentral is "tRNA-Cys". The record is from RNAcentral. Lineage: Bacteria; Pseudomonadati; Pseudomonadota; Betaproteobacteria; Burkholderiales; Sphaerotilaceae.
UUGCUGUUUUGUCGGCCUGUGUUAACGUUCCGUCAGAUUACAAGUUUGACGACAAGAAGGUCGUCGGCGUAGUGAUAGGUUCGAUCACCUAUGAAAGUGGG